UGGAAAAAAGACAAGAAAUAGAAAAAUAAGACACUUUGGAAAAAUAAUUCAGAAGCCGUUUAGUAUAGGUAGAUAGAAAUAAAUAUGUUGUGAUGGUUAAGUCUGGAUUUUGAAUUUGGUUUUGAACAGAACAGUCAAGUAGUCUCACUCUCCAUCAACACGAGAAUAGGGGUACUUGGGGGUAAGAACUGGUUCAAAAUUCCAUGUGAUGAAACAUGGCUAUUGAGUCAUUAGCAUAGCUGUUAAGUUUUAUUUAUUUAAUGUAUGGCAUCUACAGAAGCCAUGCAAUCAUUGAUAUACAAUGAUUUUAGUUUAAAUAAAGCAUCAGCACAGUGAGGGAGGAAGGGAAUAUAAAAUUAAGAUAAAACCGUAAGAAGAUCACCAUAAUAUGGUGCCAUAGAAUUGCAAUGGGAUAGAUAUUAUAAUUUGAUAUCAAAGGAAGCUAAUCAUUUUAACUGUUUCUGUUGUGGCUGCGAUGAGAUCACCUCAGGGAUACGAAGUGUAGGCUACUGGGUGGCUCCCACCCCCGAACCUGACCCCAUGCCCGAAAGUGCCUUGGAGCCAGGCCUGCUGCCAGAAAGUGACUUGGACAGUGAGUGGGAAGGGCCGUCAGGACUUAUGUCGGAAGCACCGGUCUCCCUGGCUCAGCUCCAGGAGCCAGAAGCAGGCCAGGUGAAAGAGAUAACGAGGCCUCCUUCUCCUGACUCUUUCUCCCCCAGGCCACACCUGCAGACCCAGCUGACAGCAAUCAGGCUUGGCUGAAUCCUAGGUUUCGUAGGCAGGAGAAAAGGGAACAACAGAAGCAGGGGAGGGGCUGGCCUAGGAAGUGCUGAGUCAUGGAGCCACACCCCACAGGAUAUAAAAGGCAGCAGGAGCUGGGGUGUCUCUUUGUAUCAGGCAAAUCCAUGGAUUGACUAGAGCUGAAGGUUGUGACUCACCAGCGUCUUGGCAGCUAACGAAGGCUCUUGGUAGACUCUGGCUCUUUUGCUGCCAGAGCUGAUAAGAGCCGGCUAAUUAAGCCAUUGUUCAGACAGAGGCGAAGAGGACAUAACAGCUACCUCCACGAUAGUAUAUUCCAUCAGAGCAGCUAAAAGUCUAUACACACAGCGACCGAACUGGAUAUUGCAUCCCUCACUGUGCAAAACUAUGGAAACAGCAAUUAGAUCACAACUGUCCUUUAAGGACUCACUGAAAAUAUAUAUUGGACGCCAGAUCCAUAUUUUGUAACUAAACAUAGAAUACUUAAGUAGAAAUAAAUGUGAGUACCUAAGCAGACUAGCAAUAGAUAAUACGAUAGAUUUUAUAGCACUACAAGAGAUACAUUUGGCUGACGAGGAACAGUUUAAGGCUGUUAAAUGCCAAACCUUUAUUAGCAAGGCUUACCCAUUCACACCUAUUGUUUGGCUGCUCAAUAUGGGACCCAUGAACAUCAAUGAGCCACAUGUGCUCUGCUGAUUUUUAGAGAUUAUUUUAAUGAAAAAAUGGCAAAUGGCCAGACAUAAGUAGAAAACAAUGUGUCGUGUCCCACUCCUCCGCUGACGGCCGGGUCGGGGAAGUCCAUAUCAGGCGUGCCUCUGCAGCUCUGCCAAAGUCCUAGCAAAGUUCUCAAGGCAGGCAGGAGACCAGAAAGUGACUUCAGCAAUAUAAGGUAGACUUUGCCUGACUCAGAGAAUGCCAGAAAGCAGAUCCUUUAUAUAGGCCAUGGGUUUAAUACUGUUUUAUACUGUUUCUUUGCAGCUUGAGGAAAAAGGAUUCUUUUGUUUACAAGAAUACAAUGUUGUAUUGUGGUUUUACAAUACCGGUGUCUAAUGAGGUGAGGAAAAAUCUCUAUCAGGAGGAUUUCAAGGUCUCUGGAAGCAGCCUUUCUUGUUCCAUUGCAGCAGAAUCAAUACUAGGAAAUCUGAUAAAAUGGUAUUGGCACUAAAAUAUAGUGAACCAAUGAAAUACGUUUCAUUGUUUUUAUGUAAGUAGUCUGCAAAUCUGUUUUAUGAUCUUCCCCUUGCCAGGUAAGGUCCAUCGUCUCGUCUGUAAACUGUACAUGACAACUCUAAUAAAAAUGCUGUUAUUUUUUUUUUUGGACAUAUUCUUGCCAUCAAGAUUUAGAGAAUAUGAAUAUAUGCAACGAAACAGCAUUCCAUUCCCCAAAAAGUCCAUAUGUACAGAAGAUUUCCUUUAGAGCAGGGGUGAAAUCUAAAAAUUUUCCCUGUCGGUUCUGUGGGUGUGGCUUAAUUGGUGGGCGUGGCUUGGUGGUCAGAUGACUGAGUGGGCGUGGUCAAUAACAAUAAAUAAUAAAAAUAACAAAAUAUACAAAACAAUAAGAGGUACCAAAAACCAACUUUCACACUUUACACACAACACAACACAACACAACACAACACAACUGACUCACACACAAUGUAAAAGCAGCUGCACUUCACCCAAAAUGACCCCUGCAACAAGCAGGAACCUCACACUUUCACACUUUACACACACACAACACAACUGACUCACACACACACAAAAUGCCACAUACAGCUUUGUGAGAUUUUGUGUGUUUGUGUCGUUAGAGUGAAACACUACAGAAACACACCAAAUCUCAGAAAGUUGCACAAAUAUUUUAUUUUAUUAUUUUUAUUUAUUUUUUUAGAUCAGGGGAUCUCCAACUUUAGUACUUUAGGUUUGUAGACUUCAUCUUCCAGAGUUCCUCAUUAAGCAAAGCAGGAAGUCAAAGCAGGCUGUAAUCAGUAGCUGAAGUAAGCACUGUGUUGCCAGCCCGAAAGGAGCAGUAAUUAUAGGAAAUCCCACCAAAUGUCAACAGAAAUCAUAGCAAAUGUCAUAGAAAAAUGUAAGCCUUGCAGGAGGAUUCAGAACAGACAGGCAGGAGUUGUUCAAAGGUGCUGUGUAGUUGGCUUGGAAACAUUCACUGUAUCUGAUACAGCAUCUUUAAGAAACAUCUUUUCCUGAUCUGGAACACAAUCCCAGAAAAAUACAGGUUUAAGAAAUAGUUAAGGUGGCAGAAAUCAGGGAGACGAUUGCUUAUGCAUUUUUGUAAAUCUGUACCUUUAUAUGGGCUCUUGCACAUAUGUGCUAGUAGUUCCUGACUCUAGGGGGCGGUGCUCAUCUCCAUUUCAAAGCUGAAGAGCCAGCACUAUCCGAAGACGUCUCCGUGCUCAUGUGGCCAGCAUGACUAAACACCAAAGGCGCACGGAAUGUUGUUACCUUUCCACCAAAGGUGGUCCUUAUUUUUCUACUUGCAUUUUUAAGUGCUUUCAAACUGCUAGGUUGGCAGAAGCUGGGGCAAGUAACGGGAGCUCACUCUGUUAUGCAGCACUAGGGAUUCAAACCGCUGAACUGCCAACCUUUCAAUCGACAAGCUCAGCAUCUUAGCCACUGGGCCAUGCUUAUUUGUUCAUUGCUUCGUAAUUAUCUUCCGUCUAACAAGGACAGCCUCUUUAUAACUACACCUAUGAACAAUGCAGAAAGAGCCUGUCAUUACCUGCUUCAAUAGUUUUUUUUAACUUUUCACUUUACUUGAUACCUGAUAUUUUCCCAUGCGAGGACCAAGCAAUCUCUGUGACAUUGUCUAAGCAUACCGUAGAAAAUUUCAUUACAGAAUUAAAUCACAUAAAGUAAAACCUUGAGUUAAUAGAUUAUCCAAGGCAGGGAGAUCCAACUCCCCCAUUAAAUGCAAAAUCACAUUCAUGUCGAUGUACAUUUUUGUGGAAUUUAUAGAUUAUCUAUUUCAUUUCAAAUAAUGUUUCUUCAAGCCAUGAUUAAUAAUAUGUCAAGCCUCCAGGAAUCAAUUUUAACAUCUGUUUUCAUGCAAGCAACCCUGGCUUAAACUCACUUUUUUUUUUUGGGAAUAUCACUACUGUAGGAUGAAAUAAAAAUGAAAUAAAAAGCUAUAUGCAUACAUACAUGUGUGUGUUGUGUGAUUUUUUAAAAAUAUAACAACCUGAUACUUCUUGUUUUUAUAUAUUUUAAAUACCCACUCUUACUCUUUGUAAACCACCCAGAGCAUGACAGCAUAUAAAUAAAAUUAAAUGAAAUUAAACAAAAUAUAAUGGAAGCAAAGAAUACUACCAAAAUAGAACAUAAAAUCCCUUUGAAUGUUAUGUACUGAAACAUAGCUGAUGUACAAACAUAAUUUGUGAGCACAGAAUAUUGAAACGUUAUAAUAAUUACACCUAAUUGAACAGAAAUUAACAGAACUACCUGUAUAUUGUGUGCAGAUCUGCAUAAUGAAGCUGAAGCUGUUAUUUUUAGUAACAUUAGGAUAUGAUUCAUACAUUCAUUCAUAAAUUAUUGUUAUAAUUCAUAAUUUUAAGAGAAACAAAGCCAGAAAGUAAUCAGUGAAUGAAAAAUACGCAUUAUAACUUUUUACAAUUUGUAACGUUCAUGUAUCAAUCUUCCAUUAUUUCCAAAUCUAUUCUUAAAUCUGAAAAUAAGCUCCAAAAGAGGCAUUAUAAAUCCCGUCAAGCAUGAAGUGGAAGAAUCAAAAUGAUUGUUUUAUAUCUGUUCAGUCAUAAGUAGGUGACAUCUCAGUCUGUGAUGACCUUGGGGCUACUGCUAUUUAAAUGACAUAAAGCCAUCCACAAAUCCUUAAAAUCGGGUUAACGGUAACAGAGAGCAGAAAGGAACUUUAUCCGCAAGCUGCAAAAUCUAAAAGAUUUAACUAUCAUAAAACCAUUUCUUCUUGGUUAAUAGUUAGCUUGAUGAUGCACACUGAUUCUUGGUAGUUCUAAAUUUUGAGACAGUAAUAAGUUUAUUUUCUUUAGCUGAUCAGUCACUGAUCCCUUUUUCUAUAUUACACAAUCAUUUUACAGCAUGUGAUAUUGUUUUAUUGUUAACAUACUUCUUUACUGUAGCAACUUUUACCAUCUUAAAAUGAUGCUGCAACCACAAAUACAAGUGGUUAGUAUAUGAAUGUACAAAAGUCAACAAUUCAGUGCAAUGGCUUGUUGUUGUUAGUUGCCAAGUUGUGUCCGACCCAUCGCGGCCGCAUGGACAAUGUUCCUCCAGGCCUUCCUGUCCUCUACCAUCCUCUGGAGUCCAUUUAAGCUCAUGCCUACUGCUUCGGUGACUCCAUCCAGUCACCUCGUUCUCUGUUGUCCUGUUCUUCUUUUGCCCUCAAUCUUUCCCAGCAUUAGGCUCUUCUCCAGUGAGUCCUUCUUUCUCAUUAGGUGGUCUAAGUAUUUGAGUUUCACCUUCAGGAUCUGGUCUUCUAAAGAGCAGUCAGGGUUGAUCUCCUCUAGGACUGACUGGUUUGAUCGCCUUGCAGUCCAAGGGACUCGCAGGAGUCUUCUCCAGUACCAUAGUUCAAAGGUCUCAAUUCUUUGGUGCUCAGUGUAAUGGCUAGGUUCAAACAAAUCAGUAUCUUUACAAAAAAAACUGGGUGAAUGUUAUUUUUGUUUUAAAUACCAGAAAUUGUUGAUUGAAUUAAAACUGUACAACUUGUUGGUUGGAUUGUCUGGGCUUUGGGAGAUCAAUGCCAAUAUAUUGAUCAGGGUUGUUUUGCAGAUAUUUGACCCCAUGUACCAUCAAGCUUUCUUUGGUGAAAAAUUCAGAAGAGGAAGUGCCUGGCUGUAUUUGUAGUCUGCAUAAGUUUUGAACCCAGAAGUUGGUUGGUGAUUGAAGGUCUCUCUUGACCAAUCAACCUUUUAGUGACUUUGAACAUUAAUGGUCCCUUUAACAGAUCAAUGGAUCUGUAUAUAAUAAUAAUAAUAAUAACAACAGAGUUGGAAGGGACCUUGGAGGCCUUCUAGUCCAACCCCCUGCCCAGGCAGGAAACCCUACAUCAUCUCAGACAGAUGGUUAUCCAACAUUUUCUUAAAAAUUUCCAGUGUUGGAGCAUUCACAACUUCUGCAGGCAAGUCGUUCCACUUAUUAAUUGUUCUAACUGUCAGGAAAUUUCUCCUUAGUUCUAAGUUGCUUCUUUCCUUGAUCAGUUUCCACCCAUUGCUUCUUGUUCUACCCUCAGGUGCUUUGGAGAACAGCCCAACUCCCACUUCUCUGUGGCAGCCCCUGAGAUAUUGGAACACUGCUAUCAUGUCUCCCCUAGUCCUUCUUUUCAUUAAACUAGACAUAUCCAAUUCCUUCAUAUGUUUUAGCCUCCAGUUCCCUAAUCAUCUUUGUUGCUCUUCUCUGCACUCUUUCUAGAGUCUCAGCAUCUUUUUUACAUCGUGGCAUAUGAUCUAUCACCCAGUCAAGCACAUGAUCCAAACUGUAUACAAUAAACAGAUAAGGCACACCAAACAAAAUGGAACUGACACUCAAUUAAUGAUACUUAAAUUGGAAAGUUUGAUAUAUCAAUACUUGAUUUACAGUUCAUAUGCCUAGUUUGUUCAGAUUUUUUUUCUUUUUUCUCUUUUGCUGUUACUGUUUCAAAAAGUGGAACUAUGAAAGAAUUGGAGAAUUAUAUUCUACUACAUGCAGAUAAUAUGUUAUGCUUUAUAGACAGAUAUAGAAAGUGGCUUUAAGUUCUCAUACUUUCAGGCUUAUCGCUAGGCAGUUAUCCAAGUUUUGACCACUAUUCUCUAUUCUCAACUAUUCUCAGCAAAAGAAUUAUUAUUUGACCAUAGUGAAAUCCUAAGAUACAGCCUAGCCUUAAUAAUCACUAAAAUAUUAUAUUUUGGGAUUUUCCCAAUUUUGAAAAUGCAGGCAAAUCAAUCUUUUGGGUAAACUGGGCCUUUGAUAGUACUACUAUUUUAGAUUAACCUAAUCUAAAAUAAAGGGCCUUUAAACAACUUUUGCAGAAUGAAAAAAUAAAUCAGUUUUUCUCCAGAGUGCUUUUUGGCAUUUCAUUCAGCGCAAGUAUUUGUUAUACAAUCUAUGAGGUCCAGAUGGUAUUGCUACUUAUGGAAAUUCCAUAAUGGAUGGAAGUUAUGGAAGAAUUAGUCAUGGCUCCUAAGCCAACAGCCUUUCUCUUAAUAGGAAAUUGAUGAAACUGAUAUUAUUUGAUUUGAUUUCUGUCCCACCUGACUCCAACUUGACCCUACCAAUUUACUAGUUACCAAUGCAACCUAUAAGAAAGAGUCUGGCAGUACAACUAGGAUGUUAUUAAAAAGCACUUUUGUGAGUCAUAGUUCAUUUCAACAAAUGAGAUGAAUUUCCUUUCCACUGAAACCAGUGGAAGGUUGCUUUAAAUAAUACAAUAUUCAAUUCACUGUGAUCUUAAAUGUGGUCAUUACAACAAUAAAAAUAUUAUUCAAACCUCAGAGAAUAAUAAAUAACAGAGCAACUGCCUUGCUAAGAUGAAACUCAUGAAUUGGAAUAUUAACUAGUAGGGUUUGGAGUAUCCCAUUACUGUCACAUUUUGGAUUUAUACCAACAGUUAUGAAUAUGACUUUGGAUGACAGCUGUGCAUUAAAAAGGCAUAUGUUUGCCCUGGCUUUUCCCCAGUGCUUGGACAUUAUUAAGGUUUCUAGAUGUAUAGUAUAUAUUUGGGGCAUAGAGGCUGGAUAAAAGAAUUAUACAAUUACACAUGUGAAAUGCAGAUGUAGAUGGUUGGCUGUUAAUCUUUGAAAGAGGCAAGGAAAUUUUUGAGCAAGUAUUCUGAAUGUUCUCUUUAUAACUUAAUCACUUAGCUUUCUAUUUUUCUUUUGCAUUAUUAUAUUGCUAAUACUGUUUUUAUUCUGCUUUUAUUGUUAAUUAGUCCAAUAUAUGAAAGUGGGUUUAAACAAACUCUCUCUUUUAAAUGUCACAUCAGCGUGGUAAAAUACUUUUGAAACUAAGGAAAAUUUUUAUUUUAGGACACGAUAAUAUAUCAUACAAAGGAAAAUAGAUAACUUUAAAAAUAAAUACACAUGACAAUAUUUGCAGUAUACCUUAAUGAAUGAUUAUCACCUUUUUUUAUGCAGACCUAUCAUACUUAGGCAAAGAAUAUGACGCGGAAAGAAGUAAAUCUAACUCUUUUGAAAACAGUGGAUAGUCUGUGGUUUCUCUGGUUCUAAAUUUAAAUCAAUAAUAUUUUGAAACCAGUAAAAAAUUCCUCCAAACCAAUAAUUCAACUGAGCACAGUGUCUGUUCUAUAAGAUACUGUAUAAGUUCAUUAUGUAUAAACUUUUCCAUAUAUGUUUAAGGAAAAAUCUAAAUUCCAGAAAAAUAUAACCAACCAUUAACCCUGAAUUUUGGUAUCUUUCUUCCAAAUUGCUGUAAUGAGUAUAGUUUACCAGGAUUAAGGAAAAAAUAUGACACACACAUUCAAAACUCUAUGCAAAGCAAUAUGCAACAAGAGAAAUCUCUUGUGGGCAAAACUAAAAGCUGGAAUUCUAUCUCCCCCCUUCCCCCCCCGCCUCAUCAGUUGCAGAAUUACUUAGUAAAAAGUAUUCAAAAAACACACAUACAGUAAAGCUCACCAGGGCUGGCUGAAGUGGAAAAACAUCAUCAUUUAAAUAAUCGUACCUGUUUAGAAUACUAAUGAAAGAAUUUGCCCUCUGCACCUCCUAAGGCUGCUAAUUAAGCGGUAACCUUCAAAUGCUUCAUUCAAAAUGUAAAACCAUUCAAGUGAAUAGGUUUAUAGUGGAAUGUGCAGCUUCUUUUUGUGGAUAGGUGUACAAUUACUUAACUCUUAAGCAAAAAAAUAGAUAAAUUAAGUAGAAAUCCUCUGCGACAAUAACAGCGGGACAGUUGUUAUCAAAACCAAUUAACAACUAUCCAUGCUAAUUGCAAGAGAUGUCACACAUGCAAACAAAAAUACUCAUCUACAUAUAAGAUCAAAGGCAGAAUUUUGACAGGCAUUUUGUUUCUUUUCAGAAAAGCUUGAGGCGCCCUGCAGUAAAUGCAGCAUAGCUGAGUAGACAGAUCAGAAUUUUAAUACUUGGUUUUAAAAAAUA
Molecule: long non-coding RNA, 8813 nt
Organism: Ahaetulla prasina
Lineage: Eukaryota; Metazoa; Chordata; Lepidosauria; Squamata; Colubridae
Exons: 4
Source: RefSeq, a predicted model, not a curated record